GAUUCGAAUUUAGGAUUGAGGUCAAUCUCGAUGCCAUGACACAUCUAAGAAUUUGGAAGCCCAUUUUGAAGAAUGCUAGCACUCUAGCAGCGACGUUCUCCAUGGAAGUCACACAAGAUCUAUGUUUAUUUGUACUCCCUCAAAUAGCAGCAUAAUUAGGUGGGAUAAUAAAUUUGUGCUGUCCUACUAGGCAAGAAGCAAAGGCAACCAUGAGAUUUCAAAGGGGAGGAGUACAUAAAUUUGAUUUUGGAAGAUGUUGGAAAAGUCAAUAUCGA
Long non-coding RNA from Quercus lobata, 275 nucleotides. RefSeq lists it as uncharacterized. The transcript has 4 exons. Lineage: Eukaryota; Viridiplantae; Streptophyta; Magnoliopsida; Fagales; Fagaceae. The record is from RefSeq and is a predicted model, not a curated record.